AUGGUUUCUUUCGGACACUCUUCAAGGUGCUGCAUGGUUGUCGUCAGCUCGUGCCGUGAGGUGUCGGGUUAAGUCCCAUAACCGAGCGCAACCCUUACCGUUAGUUACCAUCAGGUUAAGCUGGGGACUCUAGCGGGACUGCACCGUAAGGUGAGAGGAAGGUGGGGAUGACGUCAAAUCAGCACGGCCCUUAUGUCCAGGGCUACACACGUGUUACAAUGGCCAGUACAAAGGGCAGCUACCGGGUGACCGGAUGCUAAUCUCUAAAGCUGGUCUCAGUUCGGAUCGAAGUCUGCAACCCGACUUCGUGAAGCUGGAUUCGCUAGUAAUCGCGCAUCAGCCAUGGCGCGGUCGAAUACGUUCCCGGGCCUU
This 372-nucleotide ribosomal RNA is filed under the name uncultured Sphingobacteriales bacterium. Its description in RNAcentral is "bacterial SSU rRNA". It matches the Rfam family "Bacterial small subunit ribosomal RNA", at positions 1011 to 1382 of the family's 1533-position model. Lineage: Bacteria; Pseudomonadati; Bacteroidota; Sphingobacteriia; Sphingobacteriales. The record is from RNAcentral.